Molecule: ribosomal RNA, 323 nt
Filed under: uncultured eukaryote
Lineage: Eukaryota
Description: partial 18S ribosomal RNA
Rfam family: Eukaryotic small subunit ribosomal RNA
Source: RNAcentral
CCCUUAGAUGUUCUGGGCUGCACGCGCGCUACACUGAAGCUAUCAACACGUUUUCCCUCCCUGAGAAGGGCGGGUAACCUUUUGAAUCAGCUUCGUGGUAGGGAUCGGGGCUUGCAAUUGUUCCCCGUGAACCAGGAAUUCCUAGUAGACGCGAGUCAUAAGCUCGCAUCGAUUAAGUCCCUGCCCUUUGUACACACCGCCCGUCGCUACUACCGAUUGAACGUUUUAGUGAGGCAUUUGGACCGACGCAUCUCAGUUUAACCGCUGGUUUGUGUUGGAAAGACUUCCAAACUUGAGCGUUAGAGGAAGUAAAAGUCGUAACA